CCCCGGACUAACGUCCGGGGCUACAGCCUGCCGUCGCGUUGCGACU
RNAcentral lists this small RNA (46 nucleotides) under Rhodopirellula maiorica SM1. RNAcentral describes it as "Acido-Lenti-1 RNA". It matches the Rfam family "Acido-Lenti-1 RNA". The record is from Rfam by way of RNAcentral. Lineage: Bacteria; Pseudomonadati; Planctomycetota; Planctomycetia; Pirellulales; Pirellulaceae.